This 492-nucleotide ribosomal RNA is filed under the name uncultured bacterium. RNAcentral's name for it is "partial 16S ribosomal RNA". It matches the Rfam family "Bacterial small subunit ribosomal RNA", at positions 29 to 507 of the family's 1533-position model. The record is from RNAcentral.
AGUGAACGCUGGCGGUAGGCCUAACACAUGCAAGUCGAACGGCAGCACAGUAAGAGCUUGCUCUUACGGGUGGCGAGUGGCGGACGGGUGAGGAAUACAUCGGAAUCUACUUUUUCGUGGGGGAUAACGUAGGGAAACUUACGCUAAUACCGCAUACGACCUACGGGUGAAAGCAGGGGAUCUUCGGACCUUGCGCGAUUGAAUGAGCCGAUGUCGGAUUAGCUAGUUGGCGGGGUAAAGGCCCACCAAGGCGACGAUCCGUAGCUGGUCUGAGAGGAUGAUCAGCCACACUGGAACUGAGACACGGUCCAGACUCCUACGGGAGGAAGCAGUGGGGAAUAUUGGACAAUGGGCGAAAGCCUGAUCCAGCAAUACCGCGUGGGUGAAGAAGGCCUUCGGGUUGUAAAGCCCUUUUGUUGGGAAAGAAAAGCAGCAGGUUAAUACCCCGCUGUUCUGACGGUACCCAAAGAAUAAGCACCGGCUAACUUCGUG